Long non-coding RNA from Corythoichthys intestinalis (scribbled pipefish), 1216 nucleotides. RefSeq lists it as uncharacterized. The record is from RefSeq and is a predicted model, not a curated record. The transcript has 3 exons. NCBI's taxonomy places the organism in Eukaryota, Metazoa, Chordata, Actinopteri, Syngnathiformes, Syngnathidae.
GGAGGUAGGCCCGGAGGAAGAUGCUCUGGAAGCGACGGAAGGCUGGGUUGGCUGCAGCAGUCUGUGUCUGAGCAGGUGGGCUGAGACGACGUGCCGUGAGCUCGAGACCAACACACAAGGCGAGCAGGACAAUUAUGGCAAGGUCAGAAAAUGCUGUCAGUGGUGAAACCAACCUAUUGUAUGUGUUCUACUCCUGAUAACUAAAGAAUGGAAGAAUAAGAAUAAGAGCGGGGCUUAGCAAAAGCAAAACAGCCGGCCUGCGGCGACCAACGACUACAAGAAGCACGCAAGCACACGGUCACGGUGCAUCGUGUGGCAGUUGCUGUCAGUAACAGUACGGUCGGCCACAAUUCGCUUGAACUUUAAUGGGGCCUGGGCAGUAUGGUAGCCGACUAUAUGCAUCCACUGCUGGAAGGAUGUACCUACUGGCCGCAAGGACACCACAGUGCUGCUCGUGGCCGGCCGUCUCCUAUGCUGUGCAUUCAUUCAUUCACUUAUCCUUGAGAGGGUCACAGGAGCUACGUCAUGCAUAUUACACAAAGCCCACAUUGCAUAAAAAAAUAUAUGAACAGGAGGGAAUAAGCAUUUUAGGGAUGGGUUUUCAUUUAUUUGCUGGAACCCCCUGAAGCACAUUAAAAAUUAUGUACAGUAUUUGGGUAAAACUAAUUGUGCUGGGCAGUAAGCUUAUAUAGUGGUAGGAGCAGGUCAGAAAGCAAGAGUUCCAGGUGAUGUCACCUGACUCCAAUUUUAGCCCAACUCAAAAAAAUCCUGGCAGCUGGGAAAAUCAAAAAUACUUUUGUUAUAACUCAGAGAUUCUGCAAUCAAUCGUCUACACUUUUUCAGCACUUAUCACUAAAUAUAUUUAAUGUAUCACUCGUCAUAAUAAAUGGAGUGUUCCAUGAAGAGUGAUAUAAAGCCCUAAUGGCCAAAUCACCCUAUUAAAAAAAAGGCUUUGUCAGUGUUUUAAUUGAGUCAUUGGCAGUUAAAUUGCAGGAUAAGGCAGGUGCAAUAGAGCAUUGGGACUGAACUAGUGGCACGAUAACCUCAAAGAACUUUGCUUGGUACAUUUUUCUGUCAGACCUACAUUUCUACUGUCCAUUUCCCAACUGAGUUGGCUAAUGAGAGCACAGUAACAGAACUUCACAGAGCCCCUGUGCUUUAAAGUGUGUCAAUGUUUCUCACCGUCACGUGACAUGCCAACAGACAGGCACUUCUU